This 24-nucleotide non-coding RNA is filed under the name Mus musculus (house mouse). The record is from RNAcentral. Lineage: Eukaryota; Metazoa; Chordata; Mammalia; Rodentia; Muridae.
UACAACUGAAGGAGGCAGGCUUAG